GACGAACGCUGGCGGCGUGCUUAACACAUGCAAGUCGAACGGAAAGGCCUCUUUCGGGGGGUACUCGAGUGGCGAACGGGUGAGUAACACGUGAGUAACCUGCCCUUGACUUUGGGAUAACUUCAGGGAACUGGGGCUAAUACCGGAUAGGAGCUCCUGCUGCAUGUGGGGGGUUGGAAAGUUUCGGCGGGUGGGGAUGGACUCGCGGCUUAUCAGCUUGUUGGUGGGGUAGUGGCUUACCAAGGCUUUGUCGGGUAGCCGGCCUGAGAGGGUGACCGGCCAAAUUGGGACUGAGAUACGGCCCAGACUCCUACGGGAGGCAGCAGGGGGGAAUAUUGCACAAUGGGUGGAAGCCUGAUGCAGCAACGCCGGGUGCGGGAUGACGGCCUUCGGGUUGGAAACCGCUUUCGCUCAUGACGAAGCUUUGUGUGACGGUAGUGGGUAAAGAAGCACCGGCUAACUACGUG
Molecule: ribosomal RNA, 467 nt
Filed under: uncultured bacterium
Lineage: Bacteria
Description: partial 16S ribosomal RNA
Rfam family: Bacterial small subunit ribosomal RNA
Source: RNAcentral